GUCCCAGUUCGGAUCGCAGGCUGCAACCCGCCUGCGUGAAGUUGGAAUCGCUAGUAAUCGCGGAUCAGCAUGCCGCGGUGAAUACGUUCCCGGGCCUUGUACACACCGCCCGUCACACCAUGAGAGUCGGGAACACCCGAAGUCCGUAGCCUAACCGCAAGGGGGCGCGGCCGAAGGUGGGUUCGAUAAUUGGGGUGAAGUCGUAACAAGGUAAC
This 215-nucleotide ribosomal RNA is filed under the name uncultured bacterium. Its description in RNAcentral is "partial 16S ribosomal RNA". It matches the Rfam family "Bacterial small subunit ribosomal RNA", at positions 1285 to 1500 of the family's 1533-position model. The record is from RNAcentral.